Molecule: ribosomal RNA, 413 nt
Filed under: uncultured Clostridiaceae bacterium
Lineage: Bacteria; Bacillati; Bacillota; Clostridia; Eubacteriales; Clostridiaceae
Description: bacterial SSU rRNA
Rfam family: Bacterial small subunit ribosomal RNA
Source: RNAcentral
GAGUUUGAUCAUGGCUCAGGAUGAACGCUGGCGGCGUGCCUAACACAUGCAAGUCGAACGGAACUUUUGGGAGCUUGCUCCUGAAAGUUUAGUGGCGGACGGGUGAGUAAAAAAAAAGCAAUCUGCCCUUAAGUGGGGGACAACACCGGGAAACUGGUGCUAAUACCGCAUAAUGUAUUGAGAUCGCAUGAUUUUGAUACCAAAGGAGAAAUCCGCUUUUGGAUGAGCUCGCGUCUGAUUAGCUAGUUGGUAAGGUAAUGGCUUACCAAGGCAACGAUCAGUAGCCGGACUGAGAGGUUGAACGGCCACAUUGGGACUGAGAUACGGCCCAGACUCCUACGGGAGGCAGCAGUGGGGAAUAUUGCACAAUGGGGGAAACCCUGAUGCAGCAACGCCGCGUGAAGGAAGAAGGU